CCUCGCGUUUCGGAAGCUGGCAUGCUUUAGCCUGUAUAAAAAAAACAUGUCACGUUUACAGCUAAAGUAGCUGACUAGAUAAGCAACAACACACGUUAGACUUAGAUAGAACUUGCAAUAUCCCAAAUUCACGGGUCUACUCGGGCUACAACAUACACACGACAGGCUCGGUAGUAAUUAGAAACACAGCUGACUCUCACAACUUACUAGCGCUAGCCGCUAACGCUAGCCGCUAAAGCUGCGCUACUAUCACGCUAGCAGCUAUAAUAUGAGCUGAGUGAAUGACCUCAGUACCAUAUAUGACACGAUUCGAACCGGACAAAUGCUGGAGAGGCUUGGACUCAUCCAAAUUGCGUGUCAGCACCUUGCAACACUGUCUCUCUCUGUCGCUGUAGCUGUUAGAUUCAACGUUCUAGCAAUUAGCAUUCGUUACACAGGAGGGAAGCUAUAUUAUAAACUAUUAUUAGAAACUACUACUACUAUUAGAAACUUCUGGAGUACAUGCAUCAAAUAAGUAUCAAGCAUGUACUUACGUUUGGGGAAGCAGCAAGUGGACGCUUCUUCAACCUGAGUGACUUCUUCUUUUUGUCUUUUAAAUGGCGGGUGGCAACCAACUGAAAGGUGCAUUAGCGCCACCUUCUAUGGUAGACUGUGCAGUGAGUGACUUUUUCUUUUGUCUGUGACUGGAGUGACUGAAACGAAAUGUUUCAGGUACAUUUAGGGGCAGACAGGGUAGACCCUGGACCGGAUUACUAGUCCAUCACAGGUCUAUAUAUACAUAAACAACCACUCAUUUCCUCACUAACAGCUCUAGACAAUUUAGACUCUCCAAUCAACCUGAAUGCACGUUUUUAGGCUGUGGGAAGAGUAAACUCAUACAGACUUAGGGUGAACAUGCAAACUUCACACAGAAAGGCUCAAACUGAAUUACCAGGAGAGCUCAUGUCAAAGUUUUUUUGGCCUGCUGGUGACACUGUGGACAAUACAUGAUGAUAGCUCUUCCACAUGUUGCUCCUCAUAAAUAUUCAUCCCUUCUAGUGGAUGUGUUGAUACUGACAUUUUGUCUUCGCCAGAUUCCUCAAGUUCUAGCUCAUUUGCUCAGUUACUGUGGUGGAAAUUUCCCAUAAACAGGCAGAUGAGAGAGUUGUCUUUUGUGAGAUUUAUUAUAAAAGAGAGAGCUAAGUCUCAACAGACAGAGAGACACAACUCCCCGGCCCUGGGUUUGGAAGCUAGAGUUCAGAGUCUAUGAGGCAGAGACAACCAUUGAACAAACUAGGUGAAACGUCAAAUACAUAAAACAGAAGUAAGACAAAACCUAAGAUAUUAAUUGCAGGGCAUAAGUCAUAAAUCAUACAAUAACUGCAUAGAAUAAGGAAGAAACAAUUUUCCCAUAACACUCCCUCCUUUUGAUUACACAUUAAUCAAACACUAAAAAUAAAAAUUGUCAAACAUCGCAUUUUGUAAUAAUAAAAGACCCUUGCAAAUGAAACAAUGAGUGUAUUAACUCAUCAAGAUUCAAAAAUACACCUUCACAUAAAAUGCAGGUAACUUAGGGAUAAAAGGUUGGGAGCCGUUUUUGUGGGUAGUUAUAAAUGAAUGACCUCUGUAUAAGGAUGUGAAGAAAAUAAGCCAAUAAUCAUAUUUGCAUCAGAUUCUAUUUCGUGAUCAGAUAACAAACAACAAAGAAAAGAGUAAGAGAGGAGAAAUAAAAAGAUUGUCACAAUAAGGAAUUACCUAUUGUAAUCUCCGCAUCAUCAUCGUCAUCAUCAGAGAAACCAGUCAUCAUUAAAGUCAUUAAGUGAAUUAGAGUCAGGGUUUCUGAACAUGGUGCAUUGUGUCAUUUGAUACAAGAGUGUUGUUGUAGUCGCAUGCAUGAUGAGACCUCUAACGAGUGGGAUAACGCAACACCCAGGCAAGAGAAUCACAGCCAUCACAAUUAUAAAGGAAACAGAGAACAGAUUUCCAUUUUCCAGACAUUUCGUCUAGCCAAUUCCAAAGGUAAGAACCUAUACCAGAGUUAGUUGCCCUUCAUGCCAUCACGUGUAACAUUAAUGAAAUGCCAUCGAUUGUACUAAAGACAAUUAUUGUAUGUUAGCCAUAAGUUUCCAGUGGGGAUCUGUUUCAUAUUAUUUUAAGAUAGUUUUCUUGCUUUCGGAUCAUUAAUUGUACAUUUGGGUCUAGAGUGAAUAGAAGAAUCAGGCAUUAACCAGAAUGAUGAUACAUAUUGCUGCUUAUGUUGUCUUAUAACCUCUAUCAUUUGUAGAUGAAGGAUAAAAACUAAUUGUAGCAGUGAAUAAAGUGAUUGUGAGCAAAUUAAACACCAAAUUAACUUAAGGAUACUUGAACUCAGUGUCAUUGUCAAAUUUUCUUCUUGACAAAUAGUGUGUAAAAUUACAUGUAAACAUCAUAUGAUUAAGGUAAUAAUCAGGUAAUGAGUAACAUAAAAUGAAGUCUAACACAACAAGGUUACAAUUGAUGUCUUUUAACAAUCUGCUUCCUGUUGAACGGUAGCGUUAGAUUGUUUCCAACCUGUGUGUUGACGCGUUGACAGUUCGUUGGAGUUCUUCAGCUGAUCACAGACACACUUUGUUAUCACCACCAGGUUCCCCUCCCAAUGUUGUCUCAGUCACUGUCACUCCUGUGAUGUGAAGAUUCUACAUGUUGUCCAGCAUCGGCAACUGAAGGCUGCUCGUGUGUGUGUUUUCUCAGGAGCGUUUGUGUACAGUAGUGUAAUGUUUGGUCUGACAGUGUGAUUCAUCGGUGCAGCUUUAGGCGGCGCUUGGCUCACAGCAGUCAAUGCAGCCUCGCGUGUGUAGCACAGCACAGUCCUUUUUAGGGCGUCUCACUUCUGGUGGGUUUUCCGUGGGGUGUAGACGGAGGGUUGUCUGUCAGAUCCGGGACCCUCCUGCAGUGGAUGGAGUGGAUCCAAGUCACUCUCUCUGUGACCUUUACAGCCGUGUGGGUCGUCAGAAGGACCUGAAAGGGGCCUUGCCACCGUUUGGAGUUCCAGUGCAACUCCAUAACGAUCGCCCAGUCCCCUGGUUGGAUGGUGUCUUCAGUAAUGGUCCUGUCGCCUGUUUUCACCUGUUGGGAAAUCGGAAUUGUGGAGAAACCAGACUCCAUGGCUACAGUUGGAACCAUUCGUCUGCCAGUGUCUGCGUUCCUGCGAGGUAGAAAAUGUUUAAAACACAGGGAACGAGGAAGGAGAGGGUGGAGAGAUUUGGAGAGGAAACAAGGAUCAGAAGAGGGAACAAGGAUCAGGAGAGGGAGGGGUUGCCGGGCAGCAAUUUUCGCAGCAGCGUCUUCAGCUUCAUGUCGGCUGAAACAAAGUCGUCACUGAUGGUGUGAGUUGGACAUUACCAAACAGCAUUAACUAUAGGUAACAGAACAAUGUCGAGCAAAGCAGCAAACUUAUCGUGAUGUAGGAUAGGUUUGCCAUCCAACUUCAAAAACUUCCUAUGCUUCCACAGAGCACCAAAGUGUGACACCAAAAGCAUCUCUGGAGUCCGUGUAGAUGAUAACAGACUCUCCUUCUGCUAGUUUACUGGCUUCAGUCAAUGCGGUCAACUCUGCAGCCUAAGCAGUCAAGCUUGGCAGAAAAAUAGAAUACAGGACAACAGAACAGAAGUCGUACAACCUAAUUUCUUAUCCACUGUCUGAGUAAAAGGUCGUGUAGGGUCAGAUCAGGGAGACCCAAAGUAGGAGCAGCUUGAGGUCAGUGAACGCUUGUUCAGCCUCAGACAUCCACGUGAGAGAAGAAGUGGACGAUGAAGACGUCUGCAUCAGAACCCUGAUUGGGGCCUCAAAGAAAGUGAAGUUAGCACUGAAGGUCUUACAAUAACAACCAAGACCUAGAAAAACAUAAGCUGUUUAUACAUGCACGGUUUAGGCAGGUUUCAAAAUGCUUCAGCGCUGUUGGGUGAGAUGGAUUUGCCAUCAGCUGUAAUUACAAUGACCCAGAAAAAUAACCUUUGUCUGAACAAACUAAUUUAGACAGACUCGCUUUGUGGCCUGUAGCAUCCAAUGUUUCAGUAGCUCAGUGGUGUCUGCCGUAACGUCAUCUAUGGCUUUCUUUCAGAGGGUGUUGUUUUUUUAAAUCGUCUGUGGUCAGAUUUAGGUGUGAUGACCACUGGUUCACAUCCUCUGAUCAAACCUACAUCAUAUCUGUGUGUGAGCCACAGGGAAGCAGGGGCUUCCUGUAAGGCUGAGUGUUGGGUCAGAGCAUCGUCUGAAAAAUAAAAGCAUGUAAUGUGUGUUAUUACAAUGCUGAGAUACCAAAUUCCCCGUGUGUUGCGCAUGACUGACAGCUUAAAAAAAGUUUUCAAAAAGCAUGUAAAUACGUUACAUGGGGGUUGGAAGUCGUUCACUAGUCUCCACCCCGUUGGCAUCUGUUCAAGACCCACGUCCUGUCAUCGGUCUCCAUCAUGUUUGACAGAGGGACGUAUGGAACUGUAGAAUAACAAUCAAAAAUCUUUUUGUUCGAUAGUAAAAGAAAUCGUAAGCGCAGACCUGUGUGAAGCGAGUCUUCAUUGCAAACCGAUGAAUUUGGAUUAAUUGAGCGUUAUCCAUUGUAAGCGUGUUUCUUCAUUGCGUGAAAAGGAACCGUCACCUUCCUCCCUCCCCAACUAUCAGUCUGAUGUGAGCGCCUGAGUGGGUGAAGCCUGACGUAGCAAGGGACAGUUCUUCUUCCAAUGCGAUGACAGACCUUACCUGGAUCCUCAGAUGCAGCUCUAUUGGGCCAAUCACGUUUGAAGCCUCUCCUGUUGUUUCAACCAGUGUCUGUGGCAGGGUGCGUCUCUAAGGAAGGCAGAUGUAGCUCACUCUGCUGUUUCUCUUUCCUUGUUUUCCUUUGCUGAACAUUGUCAUAAGCAGGUGUCUGUGUCAGACAGACUCUUGUAUGACUCUGAAGCUUCACAGACAGUCCUUUCAUGCUGGUGUAGGGCUUGUAGCGGCCUGGUAUCUCAGUUGGUAGCGCGUCGACCUCGGAAGGCAAAAGGUCUGUGGUUCGAUCCCCCGCCUCGGCAUCAGGUGUGUCCCUGAGCAAGACACUUCGCGCUAACUCCGCCGACCGCCGCUCAUGUGGCAGCUCACUGCUCCCCCAAGGGGGAUGGGUCAAAUGCAGAGAAUUAAUUUCCCCACUGUGGGACUAUUAAGGGUUCAUUUCUUUCUUCUUCUUUCUUGUAGUAGCUGGUGAGUCUGCCCAGAAUAUGAUGGCUGCAGACGUUGUGGGAGUCGGUGAGGCAUCCAUGCUGUGGUCUGUGGCCCCAUUCCACUCUUGUAGGGGUGGCGGACUCGGGGUGGGCCCCACUCUGGGCGCGGGGGCAUCUCCUAACGGGCUCCCUACAGACCAUGGGUCCUCGGCCUCCAUUCUCUUAGCCCUCCGACUAGGGGGAGUGGUGGACAGCGUUGACCCACGGUGGCCCACUCUAACCCCGGGUGCUGUCUCUGUGGCUGCUGCAGCUCUGCCUGGGGGGUUCCGUGUGGGCGGCUUGGGACUUGCAACACCUGCCCUCUUGGAACUGAAGGUGUGUGGGCUCCCUGGCUGCUAGAGUAUUCCCCUCUGCUCGUUGGCUGGGCGUAGUGGCCCGAGCUCUUCACAUCACCCUGGCUUUCACAAGUGGCACUGUUUAUGCACCAAAGUCUGCCUCACCCUUUGGAUGAACAAUGUUAAGCUACAGCUUUACUAACCUUGUAGUGGGACAGUCAACACCUGAGCUGAUAAACAGGCUUUCUAAACCCAACUGUAAGUAUUACUGAUACUUAUCACUACCAAUAUCAAUAAUGUGUAAAUAUGGAAAUUGUGAUGUUGUAUGUCAUGGAUAUUAUUAAGUAGUAUGAUAUAUGUAAAACAAUGCAUAUGUGUAUAUAUAUGAUGUUUGUAUGAGUAUGUGCGCAUACGUUAACACUAUUAUUGGUAUUAGUAUUAAUCUCAAAGGUAAACCACAGUACAGCAGUUGUUUAGUUAUGAAUGUGUCAGCCUAAGGUACAUCCCUGCUUAUUUAUUUUGCACCGAUUGUUUGCUAAACUGAUUGACUUGGUUUCAGCAGCUGGUUGCACCCCCAUCCCCCUUCCCCGCGCACACCCCCCAAAGCAGAACCUUAACCUGUCCACCAACACAGCUACAUCACACAAAUUUAGGAUAAGCUAAAUAAAACAUUAAAUAAACCAUUAUUCGAGAAGAGUAUAUAUAUUUCUUACUCCUCUUGUAAAGGAGCUUCCACCCCGGCUUCUGGUUGUUGGUCAGGCACUUCUUCUGCUGACGGUGGGAAAGGAGUGUGUGUGUUUGUGUGUGUGUGUGUGUGUGUGUGUGUGUGUGUGUGUGUGUGUGUGUGUGUGUGUGUGUGUGGCAGAGUGCAAACAAUUCCCAGAGUUGUUAUCUCUUUUCUUCCCAUUACUCUCAUCUCUCUUUUUAGGGUUUGGGUCAGGGGUUAGACAGAAUGGUCAGUCCGCAAUUUGGUUAGACUGGUUUUACGCCAUCCCUCUUCUAGUUCUGUGCCUUUACCUGAUCAAUUUCACAUGUUGUCUUUGGACAGACUUGGUUGAUGGGUCAGUUCUCCUGGAAAAAAAAACAAAAAAAACCCAAAACAGGUAAGUAAGAAGGGUUAAAUACAAGCUCAUCGUUGUGAUACAGGCAGAGGUCAGAAUACAGACGCAGAAUGGCAACAGGUACAGGAGGAGCAGGUAAUCGUGAAGUCUCAAAGGCAGGCUGGUCAGGCAACAGAAUAAGCAAGUACUGUAAGUCUACGGUACAGGCAAGGGAUAUGCAAAUAACAGCCUCGGUAAACAGGUAAUCAAAUUAAAUACAGAUUAAUACAGACAAAUACGAUUAAAUACAGGGAGGCUAGAUGACUGAUUGACAACAGCUGGGACUAAUGAGCAAAAGUAAAGUGAACACAGAGCCUGGUGUAACGUAAAACCGGAAACUACAAAAUAAAACAGGAAAUACAUGCAAACAAAACUUGAUUGUGACAUUUUCAACAUGUCUCUGAACUCAUUUGUUGUGUUUGUUAAAACCUAUGUCACUGUAGCUUCUGAACUUAUGUGACUUAAAGUCAGAUUUAUAUUAUAUAUUAUAUUUUUAUUACUUAAAAUUUACAAUACAUGUGUAAAUCUAUACAGUAUAUUUAAAAUCUUUGCACACUCUCUCUAUUGCAUAUGUUGCCUUGUUUUUCGGCCUUAUACUGUUUCUCUUCUUAAGCUGGUUAACAAGAAAAUUUCCUCAAUGUAGGAUUUGGCAUGACCAACCAUCGGAGACUGCUCCCUUCUGGGCGCCUUUCAGGAUCAGCACUGUUCGGCUGUUCUGGUCACUGGAUCUUGUUCAGAAAGGUUGCUGUGGACUAUUCUCAAGUCCACCCGCCACUUGGCAUUGCUGUUAUGUAAUGCCUCCUUCUCCCAUAUGCUUUUUCAGUAUUCUUCGGUCAUUAGCGUUGGUCGGUCUGCUCUUCACAUACUGCAUUCACAUCUUAUAGCAGACUAUUAUAAAGGUGCUUCACUUAUACUUGAUAACUGCUCUCGGGGGUUCCAGGUGUCUAAAGUAUCUUAGCCAUGAUCUUUUUUAUAUCAGCUGCUCUCGCAUUAAACUCUGUCAUUAUUGGGGCUUGGAACCCAAUCUCUCAUUGUGAGAAGGAUGACGAUUUCUCCCCCUACGACCUGGCAUCCUAGCUCCCCCUUGCCGUAGCAUUUCAGUUCAGUUCAGUUAAAUUGUAUUUAUAUAGCUGUAGCGGAUUCAAAUUAAUAGUUUGAUAUUAAUGCAGAAACAUUAAUAUUCCUCGAAGUUGGGGCCCCAGGUUUGUUUUAAAGCUGAAACCACGCUUGUAUCAAUGUGGUCAACGCCAGAUGUGAAUUCAAUGAGUUACCAGUUAUGAACAACCAGAUUCCUUUUAACGUUUUAUUAAUCUAACACUACUGGAUAUAUGAAUAACAUAAUAUGGAAAUACUCAAAUAAACCAAACAGAAAAUGAGAAAACAAUCAGAAAGAGAUGAUCAGCAGUAAAUGAAUCAUUGAGUGAAAGUCCAAGGAAUGGUCAAGACCUCAGUGUGUGAUGGCUUUGAUCAAGCGAAAAGAGUAUUUGUUUCUAACUUAUACAUUUCUAAGGAUAACUAAUGAAUUUAGAAUGUUCAAUUUAGCGCUUUGAGAAACACCAGAAUUCUCAGAGGAUUAGAGAUGCUUGUCUUACCUUAGUUUGGAGCUGUAGGCCGCUGUGCAGCGUCUCCCGUUACCGGCUUGGUUGAGCAGGCGUGCCCUCUCUGAUCCAGGUGCCACGGCCUCUGGGCCAGGAAUCGUCGCCCGCGGUGAUGAUGACUGCUCGAGGUCAGCAACUUAACAGUCAGCCAGGCUGGACUUUCCAAGGUGUUUCAAAACGUCGGCGCUACUUAAACAAGCCCAACAGGGAAAAGGGCUGGAAUCUAAUUUAAUUAGUUCAAUCAAAAAAAGCGAGUCAAUUAAGGUCUGUUUGUAGUAGUUUCAGUUUUGCGUAGUUUCUUGAUGACUUUCUAACGUAACAAAAUUAGUUGUUCGUUUCUGUUUCUAACUUAAACCCUUGGUUUACAAAAUUUAGGAACAAAGGAAAAUUAAAGAAAAGUAAUGCGGUGGUGAAAGAAGUUUGAAGAGAAAUCCGAUUCGACUAGGUUGUCACUGGUUUAAAUACCCCUGGGGCAGUGGUCACAGCAGGGCGGAGAAAUUAGUUCAACCAGUGGUGAGAGUUCCACCUCUUCAGAUCAGGUAUCAAACUAUUUGAUUUGGAUAGCUCCUAAAUCUGGGAUAACUAAGUUUUUCUCUUUUCAUCAAGCUCAAAGUUCCAUCACACCAUAACACAGUACACAUGUAACAAUAGUUUCUUAAUGUAGACAUUACUAAUUAAACAAUUGUAACACUUAGAAAUGUAAUACACUAAUGAGGAUACCUAAUUGUAGCUGGUGGACAUAGCCUAUAUGCAUGUUGCACAGAUUAAAAGAGGUAAAGCAGGUGAGUAUCUGUAUUUCAACUUUGUACAUUCACACAAAGGAAAGCAUGGUGAUAAGUUGAAGUCCCUUUGUAACUUGAGGAAUUUCCUGGCAAAUCUGUAGAUCAGGCAUUAAACAUCACACAGAAACCAAUCUAAUAUCAAAUGAUAACAUUUUGUCCACAGAAUACAAUGGCAGUUUCAUGGAAGUUGAAAGUUGUGGUGCAUCUGAACCAGAACUUGUGUCCAAAUGAAGUCUCUUGUUCUCUUAAUGGGUACAUUCCACAUUUUAUGGCUGGUGGUCCCAGUUCUGGGAGAGGCAGCUUCUCGGUGAUAAAUGUGACAUUUGGCAUGAUAAGCAGAUGUGGAAUCCUGUGAGAUUUACAGGUAGAUCAACAAAGUGGGCUCAUAGUUCUUUGAUAUGGACAUUUGAGAUGUUGGCGCCAAUUGGUGCCUGUUGUAAUAGAAGCCAGUCUCCUGUUAAGGAGAAAGUGUUGGAGAAAUACUACAUUUAAUCAUUGAAACAUUGUUGGAAUUUAUUUUGCUGAUCUGCUCAAGCCUUGUCAGCUGUGCUAUAGCCUUGAAGUUUUCUCCCUUCUGCUCUGCAAGAAAUAGGGAGUACCAGUGUGUAGCAUCCUUAUCUGAUGUGCCCAAUGCUUGCUUUGUGCAUAGAAUAUUUUCUACGUACUGUGUGACUAUGCACCUCCCAGAAUGCAAUACAUAUUAUGAGCUGAAUCCCUGUCUUCUCUUCAGUGAGAGGAAGUUGCCUUUGCUGUAAACUGCUCACUCCUUGCAAGUAAAAUCCUGAAGAAGGUCUUAACUGAUUGUGUCUGCUUUAUUUAAGAUUUACGAAGGGAACUAACAAUUUCCCUAACAUAAUUGGGGGCUCGUCCGGGAUCCCAAGAUCCUCGCUUUGCCGGGACAUCGAGUCGGCGACUGAAGUCUGUGCACAGCCAGGUUUGGAACCUGCAGAAAAUCCUGGGAGGUGAAUUCCUGCCCAGGUCAGACGUCGGCUGGUGGUCCGACGAGGCGAGGUGACGGGAUCCUGAACCAGGGCCAGGACACAGAUCAGGCGAGUAUGAAAAGAGUAAAUCCUAAGGUAUCUUAAAUUCCGUGAGUGGCUCACGAGGUAAAAGAAGACUGGGUCUUCAGAAAAUUCCGUGACGAGGUCACGAGGUAAAAGAGGACAGGGUCCUCGUAAAAUAGAUUAAUGAUAGUUUGUCUGAUUGAAGCAGCGGCAGAGUGGAAACCUGACGGUGUCAACGUAAACUCUGUGAUCAGCUGGAGUAAAUCAGACUAUAUAAAUAAGUGUUAUUGUUUGUCGGUCUCUAAGUGAAUUUUAACUUCUUAGAGGAAGUCUCAGAGACCUUUUGUGUUGUGUGUCUGAUUGAGAUCAAAAUUGAGAGGUUGGUUUACUGAGACAGCUGUGUCCGCAGGAAACUAGUUCCUGUAGAAGCUUGGCACAGUCGAUGAUCUCUGUGAACACUGUGACUGAUCGUUGAUCUCAAUCCUCGUAGUGAAGCAAAUUAAAGAACACUAAGGGUGAAAACCUUGAAGGUGAUUCCAAAUACAUGUCUAAAAGACAUUCUCAGUCGACUAUAAUAAUAUAUACAUACCUUACCUUAGUGGAAAAAGAAAUUUGGAUUUGAUGGAAAUUUAAAAAAGUAGAAUUGUGUAAAAAAUUUGAUGGAUAAAAUAACUGUGAUAACUGAAACAGUUAAAAGAACAAGAUGGGGAAUAUAAUAAAGGGACCAGUUAAAAAUUCAUGCUAUAUGCACAACAAAAUUUUGAAUAAAAAAUAAACACUAAAGGGGUGUAUAAGUAUGGAACAAAUUAAGUGAAGACAUAAAAAAUAUUAAUGAAAUGAUAGAAAUAUAAUAGAAACUAUAUAAUAGAUAUAAUUUAAUAACUGUUUUAUAUUAAUAUAAAAAAUAACCUAUAAUACAAUAAUAAUAUAAUUGAUGUGCUUAAAUAUAAAUAUAAAGGCAUGCGUCAAUUAAAUUGAUUAAUUAGAUGGAAUGUUGUGGAAGUGGUGCACGAAUAUUAACAUUCUGUUAUAAUUCCUUUUUGUUAAAAUACUUUAUGUGGUGUAUGAAACUAACAGUCUAUGUUCAGAUAUUGAAUACAAAUCAAUGAAAUGAAGCAAAAGCAACAAUGUUUGUUGUAGACAGUGAAGAAUGCUGUUGGCAAGAUAACAGUGGACAGAGAGGACGUGACAGAAAAAGGUUUAGAGGAUGUGGUGGACGACCAUUUAGGGUGAGAAAAGUGAGAGUGACGUUGAUGAGGAAGAACCUCAAGUAAAAGUGUACUUAUGUGAAAGACUGCAUGAUUACCCACAAGUUACUCUAACCAUAUUUGUCAAAAAGGAAAUGAAAAGAGUGUAUGAUUGGAAUCCAAAAUAAAAGUGUGAAUACAGCUCAAUGACGGUGUGAAAGAGAAUAGCUCUGAACUGGAAAACCCAGACUGUGCCCACAGCCCACCUUAGAGGAAAUCAACAAUCAGCAACAGCGUGCUUACGGUUUGGCAGAGACGCUGCCCAUACUGCACGGCUGAGGCCACAGACCAGCUGACUGUCCACAGAAUUAUUCUGCUGGAGCAAAGUGAUGGGCGAGAGGCCGAUGGGGUUCCAGUACCAGUGUAGAUAACACUGAGGAGGGAGGUGAAUGCACUGACACACUCCACAAUGAAGAUACACACGCACGCACACGCAGACGCACUCACUGAUGAUGUCACAGCUAACAGCAAUGAAGAAUGCUUGCUAUGCUUAGAUUUAGAAAUGCUCACAGCUAUGCAAUGAAGAAUGCUUGCAACGCAUUAUUAAUAAUGCCUUUUGUAGCAUCCCAGUUCCCCCAGGUUCACAAUUUUGUUUGCGUUUACUUACAAAGGUCAGCGAUACACAUACACCAGGCUACCCCAAGGUUAUUGUAAAAGCCCGACUAGUUUCCGACUAGUGUAUGCCAGCAAAUUUUGCUGAAAUUACACCCCCACACAGUAGUCAGAUAUUACUGUACGCAGAUGAUGUUCUGGUAGCGUCACAGACUGAAGAAGAAUGCAGGAAAGAUACUGUAGCACUUCUUUCUUUUCGGCCAGAGAACAGUCACAAGGUCAGUAAAAACAAACUGCAACUGUUGAAGAAAGAACUUAAAUAUUUAAAACAAAGUGAACAAAAAUUGAUCCAAAUAAAGUUUUCAAAAGUAGAGAACCUAGACCAGAUUUACAGGACAACCCAAUACCUGGUUCUGUAUUUGUCUUUGUGGAUGGACCAAGCACAAAGUCUGAAACUAGAAAAACGCAGAGUGGCUGUGUGGUUCUGACUGAUAGUGAGCCCUUGAAAGCAGAACCGCUACCCCCACACUACAGAGCACAAGCAGCAGAAAUAAUUGCACUGACUAAGGCAUGCAAACUCAGGUCAGAUAGUUACCAUCUAUACUGAUAGCAGAUACGCACAAUGAACUAUUCAUAUAUUUACCAGUCAAUGGGAAAAUCCAGGCAAGAUGACAUCAACGGGAAAGACUACAUUGCAGAUGUAAUGAAUGAAAUUAAUGAAAAAUUUGUUAAAAGCAGUACAACUACCAGCAAAAAUAGCCAUUUGAUGCACUGCACUCUCAAAAGUGAAAAGAAAAAUGGACUCAAAGGACAAACUGCUGAAAAGUUAUUACUAUGUUUGACGAGGGGAACCUGUCCUACCAACAUCCUUCUAUAAAGGAGCAGCAAUAUUGAGACGUGGGCCUUGCCAUGUCUCAACGGGGGGGAUGGUAUGGAUAAAAAACAAACUACUAUACAGCUUAUGCAUUUACAAAAUAUUCUAAAAAAAUGUUGUUCCCGAUGCAUCACUUGCUCUAAAUAUAACCCCUAAAGGAAUUAUUCGACAAACAAGAAUAUAUUCCCUAUAGCAGAAUAUCCAUUUCAUUAUUUGCAUAUUGGAUUUUUGUGAAUUAACUAGGUGUCAAUGUAAAAAGUAUCGUUUGACAAUUAUUAACCUUUUUUCCAAAUGGGUAAAGGUGUUCCCCACAACUACUAAUGAUUCAUCAGCUGUAGCAAAAACUCUAGUAAAAGAUAUAAUACGAUUUGGGUUACCAGAUCGAAUUUAUAGUGAAAACGGACAACACAGAUUUUUCCUACCUGCUGCUAUCAGACUAUAUAACCAGAACCGUUAACUUCCUAUUGCUACAUUAACUCACCUACUGCAUCAGUGAUUUAUGUAAUAAUCUCCUCUAUGCACCAUUUGUGCAAAUCAGAACAAUAUUUAAAUUUAACAACCCUUCCAAUGCCUUCCAUAUGUCAAAGGUGUUAAAACAUCACAAGAAAUGUUUUUCUGAAAAUGCUUUUCAAGAUGUGCCUUGCCCACAGGAGGGACCACUGCAGGCUGGUGACUGGGUGUUCACCAGAGUCAUAAAGCGCAAGAACUGGACCUCACCCCGGUGGGAAGGCCCGUAUAGAGUGACGCUGACAACACCUACAGCCUGCAAAGUCGAAGGCAACUCUGGGUGGAUACACAACACACACUGUAAAAGACAACAGGUACAGGCAACCGAGUAGUAUUGUCCGUGAGAAAAAACCCAACUGAGGGAGGGGAAAAGUCUGCCUACAAAGGGGGUCAGCAGCAUUUAGAGCACUGGUCGUCUCAACGGCAGCGAAGAAACCAGCGGUACCUUCUCUCACUUAGGGGGACAUUCUCAUAUAUAUACUAUGAGGGGACACUGUCCAGCCACGGGAGUUGUACUAACUGCCCUUGUACUGUUGAUUGAUGCUAGGCCACUCCCCGACCUCAUCAAGGAUGAGGAGAGACCUCCUAGCCAGUAUCACACUAAUUUGUGGUAUUGUUAAAUGAAGACAGAGCACUCUUAACUUUACUGGUUCAGUGUGUCACUUAUUAUGAUGGUCCUGAUUUCAUGGGGACCCUCCCACAGUCUGAUAUCAAUUAUGUCUGUGGACACACAAUCUAUGAGCAUCUUCCACCCAAUUGGGUAGGGUACUGUGCCUGUUUAUGUUUCAGAUGGCUCCUACGUGAUAACACCACAGCAGAUGACUUCCAAGGGAUGGCUACGGAAGCAAGAGAUUGAUCUGAAGGAAAGUGAUCGGAUCUGGGGAUCAGACGUCCCCAUGGACAAGAAGCUCUGGACUACAGGCCAGAAAGUGGCACUAUCCCUAUUUCCAUGGGUGGGGGUAGGAAAAAUCAUGCUAAGAGUUGAAACCAUAAAUUACCGCAUGACCCUGUUCUUCAAUGUCACGGUAACGGCCCUUGCCAGUAUAGAUCGUCGUCUCACCGCCGUAACACUCCGUGAGUUACAGGACCGCCUGGUGUUAGAUCUGCUCACUGCAAGCCAAGGUGGAGUGUGUGCAAUAGUGGGCCCCAAGUGCUGCACAUACAUUCCAGGAGACGACCAAGACGCAAAGGUCACCCAACAGGCACUCUGUGACCUACAGCACAUAUCCAAUGUGCAGGCGGCUGAUGUAGUGAAAGACAAAUCCUGGUUUGGUUGGUUUAGGUCUGGCACAUGGACUGACAUUAUGAUGAAGAUUUUUGGACCGAUUCUACUGAUUCUUUUGGUUCUGAUGCUGAUUGUGUUGUGCGUAAUUCCCUGUUUGAGGGCCAUGAUCAUCAGGCUGGUGAAUCAAGGCCUUCUCAGGGUGUGCGCAGUCAUGCACUCUCAACAAAUACACUACACACCUUUAAAGCUUGAUAACUGUAAAGUGAACCUCCACGAUGUCGACGGAAAUGGACGCUAAGCUGUAAAUAUUGUGCUUCUGUGCUUUUGACCCUACCUCCGAUGUACUAACAUUUAUUCCAUGUUUUAUGAUGACUGCACUCAAAAUCAAAAGACGUUGUGCUGUUCUGAUGUAUGCAUGAUUGUUUAAUGAGUGUUUCAAUGUUAAACAGGAGGGUAAUGUUGGAGAAAUACUGCAUUUAAUCAUUGAAACAUUGUUGGAAUUUAUUUUGCUGAUCUGCUCAAGCCUUGUCAGCUGUGCUAUAGCCUUGAAGUUUUCUCCCUUCUGCUCUGCAAGAAAUAGGGAGUACCAGUGUGUAGCAUCCUUAUCUGAUGUGCCCAAUGCUUGCUUUGUGCAGAGAAUAUUUCCUACGUACUGUGUGACUAUGCACCUCCCAGAAUGCAAUACAUAUUAUGAGCUGAAUCCCUGUCUUCUCUUCAGUGAGAGGAAGUUGCCUUUGCUGUAAACUGCUCACUCCUUGCAAGUAAAAUCCUGAAGAAGGUC
Molecule: long non-coding RNA, 15155 nt
Organism: Betta splendens (Siamese fighting fish)
Lineage: Eukaryota; Metazoa; Chordata; Actinopteri; Anabantiformes; Osphronemidae
Exons: 2
Source: RefSeq, a predicted model, not a curated record